Long non-coding RNA from Carassius auratus (goldfish), 2331 nucleotides. RefSeq lists it as uncharacterized. NCBI's taxonomy places the organism in Eukaryota, Metazoa, Chordata, Actinopteri, Cypriniformes, Cyprinidae. The transcript has 5 exons. The record is from RefSeq and is a predicted model, not a curated record.
GAUGUAGACCCUGAAUUUGGACACAGCUACCAUUGAGAGAGUGAGACGAUUAGUGAGAGUAGUAGCUAGUGAAAUAGAUAGAUAGAUAUCAUAGCAUAGCAUAGCAUAAAUAGAUAGUGAGAGAUAGCAUAGCAUAACAGAUAGCUUAGAGAAAGAGUAGAUAAUAAAUAGACAACAUGGUUUAUUACUGUGUUUGUGGCGGGUGCAAGAACUCCAGCAAAACUGGACAUAGGGUCCAUUGUUUCUCCAAGGACAAAGGGAUCUUCCGAAGCUGGGUGCAAUUUGUCAAGAUUAGGCAGGCAGAUUUUUCAGCUAGCUCUGUCACCGCCUACUCGAGAAUAUGCAGCGCGCAUUUCAAGGAGGAGGAUUACCACUCAAGGGAUGCCAAGAUGGUCGCACUUUCUUUAAAAAGUAUGAGGAUGGCUAAGUUAAUUCCUACCGCCGUGCCGUCUGUGAAUGCAAACCUCUCUGCUUGUCCUGUCCCGAGGUCGAGAGACACCGUCUGCCGCAAGCGAUAUAUUGCCACGAUGAUGAAAGAAACCUCACAGCAGGAGACCGUGCACAGUGUAGAUACUGGGGAUCAGCCCUUGCCCUCCUCCACUUCUGACGCUGUGACACAGUGUUAUUUGAAGCCCCUCCCCCCGAUGGUCUCGCGCUGUGCAGGUUAACCUGAAGCCCAAGAUGGUCAGCGUGGGCACACAGAUGUCUUUCAGCCCACAAACCUCCACUCCCAUCGCUAGUCCUGAACAGACAGAUGAUGAAGAUGAUGAUAAUGCCUCUGUCGUUAGUGACUUAUCGUGGGUGCCCGAAGAGCCGAUGCAUGAGGAGGACUUGUUUGAUGAGGAGCCACCUUACGCGUGUGUGACCCCCACCACAAUGGCAUUGACAAAUUCAUUGUUUGCCAAGAGGAGCUGAUGGGCCUUUUUGCCAUCUGUCCGGCCUGUUGUGAGAGGUCAGAUAGUAGCAUCGUGCAGCAGGAAGGAACUUUUGUUAAGAUCAAGCAGGUCUGUGCAUCAUGUGGCUACCACCGUUUCUGGCAAAACCAAACCAACCAAUGCUCCACAGGAACAUGCCGACCUGCAACCUCCUGUUAAGUGGGGCCAUUCAGUUCACUGGAUGUUUGGCCACCCAGACAUUAAGAAUGUUGACUCUGUUUGGCCUGCAGUGCAUCAGUGCGAGCAUUUUCUUUAAUGCCAAGUUUAACACAUUUCACUGUAGCUUCCACUACUGUUUGUCCCUUCAUCAGUAGUUUUCUCCCUACUCAAAUCCAUGAUAGCGUCUUCAUUGUACACAGUCAUUUGAACCAUUUGAUGUGUAACACUAGACUUCACCAGUCUCUGUACUGAGCUGGAUAUCAACUAAAAAAUACAUGGUAGACAUAAUAACAGCAAAAAUCAUUUAGCAGCAUUAUGUGUACGUUCAGGCUCUUUUACGGCCAUUCUCACUGUAGUCUGGAGUAUGAAAACAACAUGAUGUACCCAACUAUGAUGCUCAUAUUUAUCUUUUCACUUGCGCACAGACUACUUCGGUGCUGUUUUUCAGUCUUAACCUUGCUCUUCCCGCUGAUAAGGACGCUUGAUGUUUAGGCUGGAUUCUGGCCUUAUUGACGUGUGUGUCUCCAGAUCUUUUCUGUUGGACCUCCCUGCAGUGGCUGGCCUGGAUCCACGUUUCUCUCUCUGCUACCUUCACAGCCAUGUGAGUGGUCAGAAGCACCUGGAACGGUCCCAGCCACCUUUUCGCCUUCCAGCUCUUUCUCCUCAGAUCUCGUACCACCACGAAAUCUCCUGGUUUCAGUUCGUGCAGCGGUGUUUCAGCAACCUUCCCCUGAGCAGCUUUCACCUGAACACAGACAUGAGACAAUAAAGAAGACAUUUCCUUGCAAUAACUCAACGUGUCAUGCUCACACACCUGUAGAUGGUAGCUGUUGUUUAACCCCCUUCAAUACUCACAAAUGGUGGGUUGCCAAAGAGAAUUUCAAAAGGGCUCAGGUUUACUCUGGAUCUAUUUCUCAUUCUCAUGUACAUGAGAAUGAUUGGGAGCACCUUAACCCAUGUGAGUCCAGUUUUCUUACAACACUUAACCAAUUAGAUUUUUAUUGCCCCUACACAAAAUGUGUUUCAAUGCCCGAACUGCUUUUUCGUGGAAUUUCCCCAUCUCGGGACUAUUUCAGUCAGCAGAGCCCUUACUACUGCUGCUGCAUCCUGUUUGGACAUUGGGCAGACCACUACCCAUUUGGACCACAUGUCCACAAAUACCAAACCAUGUUUCCCUCCCUUCACAUGGGAACAGUUCAAUGAAAUCCAUCGGGGCUUGCUGGAAUACCUGAGACAU